MicroRNA precursor from Cyprinus carpio (common carp), 81 nucleotides. NCBI's taxonomy places the organism in Eukaryota, Metazoa, Chordata, Actinopteri, Cypriniformes, Cyprinidae. The record is from Ensembl.
CCUGCAGUGCACACUGCUAGGAAUCGUGGCUGAGAUGAACAGCAGGAUUUCAGUCAUUGUUUCUAGUAGUGGGCGCUGCAG